This 360-nucleotide ribosomal RNA is filed under the name uncultured bacterium. RNAcentral describes it as "bacterial SSU rRNA". It matches the Rfam family "Bacterial small subunit ribosomal RNA", at positions 70 to 422 of the family's 1533-position model. The record is from RNAcentral.
CUUUGGGAGCUUGCUCCUGAAGAUUAGCGGCGGACGGGUGAGUAACACGUGGGCAACCUGCCUAUAAGACUGGGAUAACUUCGGGAAACCGGAGCUAAUACCGGAUCAUUCUUUUCUACUCAUGUAGGAAAGCUGAAAGACGGUUUACGCUGUCACUUAUAGAUGGGCCCGCGGCGCAUUAGCUAGUUGGUGAGGUAACGGCUCACCAAGGCCACGAUGCGUAGCCGACCUGAGAGGGUGAUCGGCCACACUGGGACUGAGACACGGCCCAGACUCCUACGGGAGGCAGCAGUAGGGAAUCUUCCGCAAUGGACGAAAGUCUGACGGAGCAACGCCGCGUGAGUGAUGAAGGUUUUCGGA